RNAcentral lists this ribosomal RNA (496 nucleotides) under uncultured Enterobacter sp. RNAcentral describes it as "bacterial SSU rRNA". It matches the Rfam family "Bacterial small subunit ribosomal RNA", at positions 59 to 546 of the family's 1533-position model. The record is from RNAcentral. Lineage: Bacteria; Pseudomonadati; Pseudomonadota; Gammaproteobacteria; Enterobacterales; Enterobacteriaceae.
AAGUCGAGCGGUAACACAGGGAGCUUGCUCCUGGGUGACGAGCGGCGGACGGGUGAGUAAUGUCUGGGAAACUGCCUGAUGGAGGGGGAUAACUACUGGAAACGGUAGCUAAUACCGCAUAACGUCGCAAGACCAAAGAGGGGGACCUUCGGGCCUCUUGCCAUCAGAUGUGCCCAGAUGGGAUUAGCUAGUAGGUGGGGUAACGGCUCACCUAGGCGACGAUCCCUAGCUGGUCUGAGAGGAUGACCAGCCACACUGGGACUGAGACACGGUCCAGACUCCUACGGGAGGCAGCAGUGGGGAAUAUUGCACAAUGGGCGCAAGCCUGAUGCAGCCAUGCCGCGUGUAUGAAGAAGGCCUUCGGGUUGUAAAGUACUUUCAGCGGGGAGGAAGGUGUUGAGGUUAAUAACCUCAGCAAUUGACGUUACCCGCAGAAGAAGCACCGGCUAACUCCGUGCCAGCAGCCGCGGUAAUACGGAGGGUGCAAGCGUUAAUC